GACGAACGCUGGCGGCGUGCUUAACACAUGCAAGUCGAACGGAAAGGCCCUGCUUUUGUGGGGUGCUCGAGUGGCGAACGGGUGAGUAACACGUGAGUAACCUGCCCUUGACUUUGGGAUAACUUCAGGAAACUGGGGCUAAUACCGGAUAGGAGCUCCUGCUGCAUGGUGGGGGUUGGAAAGUUUCGGCGGUUGGGGAUGGACUCGCGGCUUAUCAGCUUGUUGGUGGGGUAGUGGCUUACCAAGGCUUUGACGGGUAGCCGGCCUGAGAGGGUGACCGGCCACCUGGGGACUGAGAUACGGCCCAGACUCCUACGGGCGGCAGCAGUGGAGAAUAUUGCACAAUGGGCGGAAGCCUGAUGCAGCAACGCCGCGUGCGGGAUGACGGCCUUCGGGUUGUAAACCGCUUUCGCCUGUGACGAAGCGUGAGUGACGGUAAUGGGUAAAGAAGCACCGGCUAACUACGUG
RNAcentral lists this ribosomal RNA (468 nucleotides) under uncultured bacterium. RNAcentral describes it as "partial 16S ribosomal RNA". It matches the Rfam family "Bacterial small subunit ribosomal RNA", at positions 28 to 507 of the family's 1533-position model. The record is from RNAcentral.